UUCAGUUGAGAUUUUUGAAAUGAAGAUGGACGCCAUUGAAGUACAUCGUGGGAUAGUAAAAGGGUCAGCAAAAUGCUCAUCAAUGUCCAGUACCAUGGAGAAAAAAGUACCUCAAACUGCUGCCUGGUUUUUCCUUUCAAAGUUUAAUUCGAGAAGGCACAUCAAUCCACUGGUGCAAAAGAAGAGAACACCUCUGCCAUAGGAGAUUCAGCAGAAAAAGGCCAAACAGAUGGUCCAGGAGGUUCUGGAGAAGAGUUAAAUGGGAGAGGAAAUAAUGGAGGAGUAUAGUAGAGCACCUUGACACACUGUACAAGAAGGCAUCUUCUGAAUAUCCUGGUCCAUGGGAUACCAGUACGAAGUCAAGGAAAAAGAUAUGCACUCGGCAUUGUGACUGUUUCCUAAUCUCAGGGAUCCUUACUCCACCAAUGGCUAUGAACACUUCUACGAUGCUGGAAGAGGGACGGGCUAUCUGGCAUGGCGCCUAAAGCAACGAGUGUCGCAGCGUUUGGUCAAGAACAGCUCGGGAGCCUUGGAAUACAUGAACACCAUGAGCUUUUUAAGGAGGUAGACUUUCUAAUGAGGAGACACGGCAAUCAAAAAAUCCUCCAUAGAAAUGCAUGGGGUUAGUUUGUAACGUAUGGUGUUGUCUACAUAUAUCACACCCCCCUCCGUGGCAAAACGUGGACAUGUAAAUACAUUGAGCCAAUCAUGUGGUGUGUUGUGAAGACAUUGAUUGUGCCAAUCAUGUGUUGUGAUCUUGCCGCUGGAGCAAGAUUGGUGUUGUGAAGCCUGCCGAAAGUGCCCAAAAUGCGUUGCAAUAUGGCUGCUGAGUGGAGGGACUUGCCUAAAAGGACUUUGGGUAUACCCACAUGUAACAUCACUUCAUGGUGCAUUAUCUGUCUUGCUUAUGGAAAAUUGGCCCAUUAUUGCACAUCUCUAGUAAUAGGUUUGAAGCAAAACAAGUU
This is a long non-coding RNA of Alosa sapidissima (American shad), 965 nucleotides long. RefSeq lists it as uncharacterized. The record is from RefSeq and is a predicted model, not a curated record. The transcript has 6 exons. Lineage: Eukaryota; Metazoa; Chordata; Actinopteri; Clupeiformes; Clupeidae.